This 397-nucleotide ribosomal RNA is filed under the name Bruchidius aureus. Its description in RNAcentral is "partial 12S ribosomal RNA". The record is from RNAcentral. Lineage: Eukaryota; Metazoa; Arthropoda; Insecta; Coleoptera; Chrysomelidae.
UUAAGAGCGACGGGCGAUGUGUACAUAUUUUAGAGCUUAAAUCAUUUUAAAUAAAUAUAAAAAUUACUAUCAAAUCCAAAUUCAAAUCUUUUUUAAAAAAAUCAUUCUUAAAUAAAUUUAUUGUAAUCCACCUCUUCUUAAAUAUAAACUACACCUUGAUCUGAUUUAUUUUUUAAUAAAAAAUCUUGAAUAUUUAAAUUCUAAUAAAAUAUUCCAUCUACGACGAUAUGUAAACUUAAAAUUUAAGUAUGUAUAAUCGUGGAUUAUCAAUUAUAGGGCAGAUUCCUCUGAAAAGACUAAAAUACCGCCAAAUUUUUUAAUUUUUAAGAAAAUAACUAAUACUAAUUUAGUAUAAAAAAUUUACAUUUAUAAUAAUAGGGUAUCUAAUCCUAGUUUA